This is a long non-coding RNA of Onychostoma macrolepis, 560 nucleotides long. RefSeq lists it as uncharacterized. The record is from RefSeq and is a predicted model, not a curated record. NCBI's taxonomy places the organism in Eukaryota, Metazoa, Chordata, Actinopteri, Cypriniformes, Cyprinidae. The transcript is spliced from 5 exons.
UUAGUAGGCCUAUAUUAUUUCUGUUUUAUGCAAAACUGAGAUAUUUUAAGACAUUUUAACUUAUUAACAGCAAACUAACAUUAUUCAUCGUGUCGUUUUUCAUGGCGGGAGUUGGGGCCUUUUUUUCUGACUGACAGCCGGAUUAACGCCGCCAUAACGGUGAUAACGUCGACUGUCUAGAUUUCGUCGACAACGUCGGAGGUGUAUUUUGGAUGAAUUCUCUUCUUGUGAAUGCCAUAGUUUCGAUGAUAACAUCAACUGUUUGUGAUCUUGUGGUAAUGUCGUCCGCAUCAGAGGAGUAUUGGAGUCUUUUCCUGUGAUUGCAGUCGUAACAACAGGAGAUUUCUCCAAGCAAAAACAGGAUUCUGAAUAUGAGGCAGAAUCAUCGUACAGCCAGCUGUCCGUUUUACAGAAAUGCAGAAUUAGCUCAACCGGCACGGAAUGGAACGCACAGGAUUGUGGGAUAUCAAAGGCAGCGAAGGAUACAUCUAUGCUGCCUUCAAAAAUCGAUCAGAAGAAGGUAGCAGUUUCAGGAAGUGAAGCUAACUUUGAAUUUGGAC